This 253-nucleotide ribosomal RNA is filed under the name uncultured bacterium. Its description in RNAcentral is "partial 16S ribosomal RNA". It matches the Rfam family "Bacterial small subunit ribosomal RNA", at positions 524 to 776 of the family's 1533-position model. The record is from RNAcentral.
UACAGAGGGGGCAAGCGUUGUUCGGAAUUACUGGGCGUAAAGGGCGCGUAGGCGGCCUGUUAAGUCAGACGUGAAAUCCCUCGGCUCAACCGGGGAACUGCGUCUGAUACUGGCGGGCUUGAAUUCGGGAGAGGGAUGUGGAAUUCCAGGUGUAGCGGUGAAAUGCGUAGAUAUCUGGAGGAACACCGGUGGCGAAGGCGGCAUCCUGGACCGGCAUUGACGCUGAGGCGCGAAAGCCAGGGGAGCAAACGGG